This 99-nucleotide transfer RNA is filed under the name Klebsiella pneumoniae. RNAcentral describes it as "tRNA-Asp(atc)". The record is from RNAcentral. Lineage: Bacteria; Pseudomonadati; Pseudomonadota; Gammaproteobacteria; Enterobacterales; Enterobacteriaceae.
UGCCGAUGGCGUACACGGCCACGGCGAUAAAGCGGUUAUCGACCGCCAGAUAGUGCUCGGUCAGCCAUGAAAUGCUGGUUCCGACGCCCGCAGCGGUAA